AUGCCUUAAACUAAUGAGUAAGGAAAAUAACGGUUCGGGGUGACGCCCGAAUCCUCACUCGGAUGUGAGAAGAAUUUUUGCACGGGUACAGGUCGCCCGCGGGUGACUCGUUUACUUUGCGAGAUGCCUGUUGAGCGCGAUCUGCCCG
Molecule: small nuclear RNA, 148 nt
Organism: Petromyzon marinus (sea lamprey)
Lineage: Eukaryota; Metazoa; Chordata; Hyperoartia; Petromyzontiformes; Petromyzontidae
Gene: U12
Rfam family: U12 minor spliceosomal RNA
About the family: Although the U12 sequence is very divergent from that of U2, the two are functionally analogous.
Source: Ensembl